RNAcentral lists this transfer-messenger RNA (370 nucleotides) under Bacteroidota bacterium. RNAcentral's name for it is "Bacteroidetes bacterium (activated sludge metagenome) transfer-messenger RNA". It matches the Rfam family "transfer-messenger RNA". Rfam says of the family: Bacterial tmRNA, also known as 10Sa RNA or SsrA, is named for its dual tRNA and mRNA-like properties. Its role is to liberate the mRNA from a stalled ribosome. The record is from RNAcentral. Lineage: Bacteria; Pseudomonadati; Bacteroidota.
GGGGGUGUAUGGUUUUGACAGCGUAGAUCUUUGAAAGUGUAAGCAUGCCGGGCGUUGCGUAAUUAGCCCGUUAAUCUGAAUACGCAAACUACAAAUGGCAAUACACAGUAUGCCAUGGCUGCCUAAUCAGUGAUUAAGUAGUCAUUAGGGCCGCCUGAGCAGGUUGGUCUGUUACCAGCUCCGCCGCCGACUAAAAACAAACACAGAAUGCUGCAACCAAAGGCUGUGAUGGUUGCUUAAGCCUAUCCAGCUAAGUGUUGAAUUGGUUUGCUCAUUUCCGGUUCAAUGCCGACAAAUAAUAAUGAAAUAAGCAUGUAGAAAGCUUUUGAAGAAUAUGUUUGGACACCGGUUCGAAUCCGGUCACCUCCAC